UACGAAGGGGCUAGCGUUGCUCGGAAUUACUGGGCGUAAAGCGCACGUAGGCGGUCUUUUAAGUCGGGGUGGAAAUCCUGGAGCUCAACUCCAGAACUGCCUUCGAUACUGGAGAGCUUGAGUCCGGGAGAGGUGAGUGGAACUGCGAGUGUAGAGGUGAAAUUCGUAGAUAUUCGCAAGAACACCAGUGGCGAAGGCGGCUCACUGGCCCGGUACUGACGCUGAGGUGCGAAAGCGUGGGGAGCAAGCAG
Molecule: ribosomal RNA, 251 nt
Filed under: uncultured bacterium
Lineage: Bacteria
Description: partial 16S ribosomal RNA
Rfam family: Bacterial small subunit ribosomal RNA
Source: RNAcentral